GCCAAACGGUGUAUUAUUUCCACGGCAGCAGCAUUUGUCAUAUAAUUUGCGGAUCCUGCUGGAUAGAUGGCCCAUUUAAUAAGGGAAUCAUUUCCUUUUGUCGAUAAGUUCAUUAAGUGGACCUGUGAGAAGUUAAUGUCCAACUCUUGGGCAAUGAGAUGGGUAAGCUCUGUCAUGUGAGGGUUCAAGUCCAAGUGAUUCACACUCAGUGACAUAUAAAAUGUAAUGAAUCCAACCUUAAUUUCUCCGGAUGCAUUAUACCCAGGAGAU
Molecule: unclassified non-coding RNA, 270 nt
Filed under: Hevea brasiliensis (rubber tree)
Lineage: Eukaryota; Viridiplantae; Streptophyta; Magnoliopsida; Malpighiales; Euphorbiaceae
Source: RNAcentral